RNAcentral lists this ribosomal RNA (209 nucleotides) under uncultured bacterium. RNAcentral describes it as "partial 16S ribosomal RNA". It matches the Rfam family "Bacterial small subunit ribosomal RNA", at positions 568 to 776 of the family's 1533-position model. The record is from RNAcentral.
CACGUAGGCGGGUUGUUAAGUCAGGGGUGAAAUCCCGGAGCUCAACUCCGGAACUGCCUUUGAUACUGGCAAUCUAGAGACUGGAAGAGGUUAGUGGAAUUCCCAGUGUAGAGGUGAAAUUCGUAGAUAUUGGGAAGAACACCAGUGGCGAAGGCGGCUAACUGGUCCAGUACUGACGCUGAGGUGCGAAAGCGUGGGGAGGCAAAACA